GAUGAACGCUGGCGGCGUGCCUAAUACAUGCAAGUCGAGCGAACAGACGAGGAGCUUGCUCCUCUGACGUUAGCGGCGGACGGGUGAGUAACACGUGGAUAACCUACCUAUAAGACUGGGAUAACUUCGGGAAACCGGAGCUAAUACCGGAUAAUAUAUUGAACCGCAUGGUUCAAUAGUGAAAGACGGUUUUGCUGUCACUUAUAGAUGGAUCCGCGCCGCAUUAGCUAGUUGGUAAGGUAACGGCUGACCAAGGCGACGGUGCGUAGCCGACCUGAGAGAGUGAUGGGCCAGACCGGAACUGGUACACGGCCACGACUCCUACGGGAGGCAGCAGUUGGUACUCCGGCGCGAUGGGCGGGAGCCUGACGGAGCAACGCCGCGUGAGUGAUGAAGGUCUUCGGUGCGUACGACUCUGUUAUUAGGGUAGUACAAUUGUGUAAGUAACUAUGCACGACGUGACGGUACCUACUCAGAAAGCCACGGCUAACUACGUG
Molecule: ribosomal RNA, 497 nt
Filed under: uncultured bacterium
Lineage: Bacteria
Description: partial 16S ribosomal RNA
Rfam family: Bacterial small subunit ribosomal RNA
Source: RNAcentral